CACCGGCGGCCCGAGUGGUGAUCGUGAUUAUUGGGUCUAAAGGGUCCGUAGCCGGUUUGGUCAGUCCUCCGGGAAAUCUGAUAGCUCAACUAUUAGGCUUUCGGGGGAUACUGCUUGUCUUGAGACCGGGAGAGGUUGGAGGUACUCCCAGGGUAGGGGUGAAAUCUUGUAAUCCCUGUGGGACCACCUGUGGCGAAGGCGUCUUACCAGAACGGGUUCGACGGUGAGGGACGAAAGCUGGGGGGACGAACAGG
This 254-nucleotide ribosomal RNA is filed under the name uncultured bacterium. Its description in RNAcentral is "partial 16S ribosomal RNA". It matches the Rfam family "Archaeal small subunit ribosomal RNA", at positions 474 to 727 of the family's 1478-position model. The record is from RNAcentral.